RNAcentral lists this unclassified non-coding RNA (408 nucleotides) under Senecio jarae. Its description in RNAcentral is "partial contains external transcribed spacer and 18S ribosomal RNA". The stretch from base 358 to 408 matches the Rfam family "Eukaryotic small subunit ribosomal RNA", at positions 1 to 51 of the family's 1831-position model. The record is from RNAcentral. Lineage: Eukaryota; Viridiplantae; Streptophyta; Magnoliopsida; Asterales; Asteraceae.
UGGCAUACCUCUUCAUUUAUGUGUCAAGACUUGUAUCGUCUUGAGCGUAUUGUGGGUUUCCUGUGUUGCAUACCUAACUGAUGGCAUCGGUUUGAUUGAUUGGAGUCCCUUUUCAUCUUGUGUUGCCUUUGUGAUGCAUGAUGAACUUUGAAUUGGCCUCUAUGUUCCACCAUGUUGAUGCUAGUGUUUUGAUGUUGUGGCCCAUUGAGUGUUGCUUGGUUUCGUGGAUACAGAACAUUAUUUGGGCAUAGGGUCACUUGUGACUCUUGUUUUGUCCUUUAUCAGUGUUCUUUAUAACGACGGUUCAUGCGUGCCUAGGCUCGUACCUGCGCGAUGUUCUUUGUCAAAAAGGAAUGCUACCUGGUUGAUCCUGCCAGUAGUCAUAUGCUUGUCUCAAAGAUUAAGCCA